Long non-coding RNA from Hypomesus transpacificus, 275 nucleotides. RefSeq lists it as uncharacterized. The record is from RefSeq and is a predicted model, not a curated record. Lineage: Eukaryota; Metazoa; Chordata; Actinopteri; Osmeriformes; Osmeridae. The transcript has 2 exons.
UAAAAGUUAUUGUCUAUUGAUUACAUGUCAGACUUCUCUGGCUAGAGAAGCUCUGCGUAUGAUUCCAAAAUACCUGGCAAUAAAAACGAAAGCCUUUGCAAUCAAUCUCCUGACUCCAAGCCUGUUAAUUCUUGCUACACUAAGAACCACUUUCGAGGCUCCAACAAUUGGUGACGCCGACGUGAUUCGCUACAUCUACAUUUAAGAAGGGGUGCUUGAGCAAGAGGUGCCACCAUGACCUGUACGUCUCUCUGCUAAGGAGUGGAGAGAUCAGA